GACGAACGCUGGCGGCGUGCUUAACACAUGCAAGUCGAACGGAAAGGCCCUGCUUUUGUGGGGUGCUCGAGUGGCGAACGGGUGAGUAACACGUGAGUAACCUGCCCUUGACUUUGGGAUAACUUAAGGAAACUGGGGCUAAUACCGGAUAGGAGCUCCUGCUGCAUGGUGGGGGUUGGAAAGUUUCGGCGGUUGGGGAUGGACUCGCGGGUUACCAGCUUGUUGGUGGGGUAGUGGCUUACCAAGGCUUUGACGGGUAGCCGGCCUGAGAGGGUGACCGGCCACAUUGGGACUGAGAUACGGCCCAGACGCCUACGUGAGGCAGCAGUGGGGAAUAUUGCACAAUGGGCGGAAGCCUGAUGCAGCAACGCCGCGUGCGGGAUGACGGCCUUCGGGUUGUAAACCGCUUUCGCCUGUGACGAAGCGUGAGUGACGGUAAUGGGUAAAGAAGCACCGGCUAACUACGUG
RNAcentral lists this ribosomal RNA (468 nucleotides) under uncultured bacterium. RNAcentral describes it as "partial 16S ribosomal RNA". It matches the Rfam family "Bacterial small subunit ribosomal RNA", at positions 28 to 507 of the family's 1533-position model. The record is from RNAcentral.